CGGUUGAUCCUGCCGGACCUGACUGCUAUCGGAUUGAUACUAAGCCAUGCGAGUCAUUGUAGCAAUACAAGGCAGACGGCUCAGUAACGCGUAGUCAACCUAACCUAUGGACGGGAAUAACCUCGGGAAACUGAGAAUAAUGCCCGAUAGAACACUAUACCUGGAAUGGUUUGUGUUCCAAAUGAUUUAUCGCCGUAGGAUGGGACUGCGGCCUAUCAGUUUGUUGGUGAGGUAAUGGCCCACCAAGACUAUUACAGGUACGGGCUCUGAGAGGAGUAGCCCGGAGAUGGGUACUGAGACACGGACCCAGGCCCUAUGGGGCGCAGCAGGCGAGAAAACUUUGCAAUGUGCGAAAGCACGACAAGGUUAAUCCGAGUGAUUUGUGCUAAACGAAUCUUUUGUUAGUCCUAGAACCACUAACGAAUAAGGGGUGGGCAAGUUCUGGUGUCAGCCGCCGCGGUAAAACCAGCACCUCAAGUGGUCAGGAUGAUUAUUGGGCCUAAAGCAUCCGUAGCCGGCUCUGUAAGUUUUCGGUUAAAUCUGUACGCUUAACGUACAGGCUGCCGGGAAUACUGCAGAGCUAGGGAGUGGGAGAGGUAGACGGUACUCGGUAGGAAGGGGUAAAAUCCUUUGAUCUA
Molecule: ribosomal RNA, 638 nt
Filed under: uncultured archaeon
Lineage: Archaea
Description: bacterial SSU rRNA
Rfam family: Archaeal small subunit ribosomal RNA
Source: RNAcentral